CCUACGGGAGGCAGCAGUGGGGAAUAUUGGACAAUGGGCGAAAGCCUGAUCCAGCCAUGCCGCGUGUGUGAAGAAGGCCUUCGGGUUGUAAAGCACUUUCAGUGGGGAAGAAAGCCUUGGGGCUAAUACCCUCGAGGAAGGACAUCACCCACAGAAGAAGCACCGGCUAACUCCGUGCCAGCAGCCGCGGUAAUACGGAGGGUGCGAGCGUUAAUCGGAAUUACUGGGCGUAAAGCGCGCGUAGGCGGUCUGAUAAGCCGGUUGUGAAAGCCCCGGGCUCAACCUGGGAACGGCAUCCGGAACUGUCAGGCUAGAGUGCAGGAGAGGAAGGUAGAAUUCCCGGUGUAGCGGUGAAAUGCGUAGAGAUCGGGAGGAAUACCAGUGGCGAAGGCGGCCUUCUGGACUGACACUGACGCUGAGGUGCGAAAGCGUGGGUAGCAAACAGGAUAAGAUACCCUGGUAGUC
RNAcentral lists this ribosomal RNA (465 nucleotides) under Vreelandella stevensii. Its description in RNAcentral is "partial 16S ribosomal RNA". It matches the Rfam family "Bacterial small subunit ribosomal RNA", at positions 338 to 795 of the family's 1533-position model. Lineage: Bacteria; Pseudomonadati; Pseudomonadota; Gammaproteobacteria; Oceanospirillales; Halomonadaceae. The record is from RNAcentral.